Molecule: ribosomal RNA, 482 nt
Filed under: Streptococcus sp. oral taxon C65
Lineage: Bacteria; Bacillati; Bacillota; Bacilli; Lactobacillales; Streptococcaceae
Description: bacterial SSU rRNA
Rfam family: Bacterial small subunit ribosomal RNA
Source: RNAcentral
GACGAACGCCGGCGGCGUGCCUAAUACAUGCAAGUAGAACGCUGAAGAGAGGAGCUUGCUCUUCUUGGAUGAGUUGCGAACGGGUGAGUAACGCGUAGGUAACCUGCCUUGUAGCGGGGGAUAACUAUUGGAAACGAUAGCUAAUACCGCAUAACAAUGGAUGACACAUGUCAUUUAUUUGAAAGGGGCAAUUGCUCCACUACAAGAUGGACCUGCGUUGUAUUAGCUAGUAGGUGAGGUAACGGCUCACCUAGGCGACGAUACAUAGCCGACCUGAGAGGGUGAUCGGCCACACUGGGACUGAGACACGGCCCAGACUCCUACGGGAGGCAGCAGUAGGGAAUCUUCGGCAAUGGGGGCAACCCUGACCGAGCAACGCCGCGUGAGUGAAGAAGGUUUUCGGAUCGUAAAGCUCUGUUGUAAGUCAAGAACGAGUGUGAGAGUGGAAAGUUCACACGGUGACGGAGCUACCAGAAAGGACG